This 420-nucleotide ribosomal RNA is filed under the name bacterium Ellin6024. RNAcentral's name for it is "bacterial SSU rRNA". It matches the Rfam family "Bacterial small subunit ribosomal RNA", at positions 28 to 477 of the family's 1533-position model. The record is from RNAcentral. Lineage: Bacteria; Bacillati; Actinomycetota; Actinomycetes.
GACGAACGCUGGCGGCGUGCUUAACACAUGCAAGUCGAACGAGGUGCUUGCACCUAGUGGCGAACGGGUGAGUAACACGUGAGCAACCUGCCCUUGGCUCUGGGAUAGCCUCCGGAAACGGGGAUUAAUACCGGACAUGACCCUGCUCUGCAUGGAGCGGGGUGGAAAGUUUUUCGGCCAGGGAGGGGCUCGCGGCCUAUCAGCUUGUUGGGGGGGUAACGGCCCACCAAGGCGACGACGGGUAGCCGGCCUGAGAGGGCGACCGGCCACACUGGGACUGAGACACGGCCCAGACUCCUACGGGAGGCAGCAGUGGGGAAUAUUGCACAAUGGGGGAAACCCUGAUGCAGCGACGCCGCGUGCGGGAUGAAGGCCUUCGGGUUGUAAACCGCUUUCAGCAGGGGCGAAUUCAAGACGGUA